This 102-nucleotide ribosomal RNA is filed under the name Castor canadensis (American beaver). Lineage: Eukaryota; Metazoa; Chordata; Mammalia; Rodentia; Castoridae. The record is from RNAcentral.
GUCUACCACCAUACCACCUUGAAAAUGCCUGAUCUCAGAAGCUAAGCAGGGUUGGGACUGGUUUAGUACUUGGAUGGGGGAAACUCCCAAGUGUGGGAGAAA